AUUGAACGCUGGCGGAAUGCUUUACACAUGCAAGUCGAACGGCAGCACGGACUUCGGUCUGGUGGCGAGUGGCGAACGGGUGAGUAAUGUAUCGGAACGUGCCCAGUCGUGGGGGAUAACGUAGUGAAAAUUACGCUAAUACAGCAUACGAUCUAUGGAUGAAAGCGGGGGAUCGCAAGACCUUGCGCGAUUGGAGCGGCCGAUAUCAGAUUAGGUAGUUGGUGGGGUAAAGGCCGACCAAGCCAACGAUCUGUAGCUGGUCUGAGAGGACGACCAGCCACACUGGAACUGAGACACGGUCCAGACUCCUACGGGAGGCAGCAGUGGGGAAUUUUGGACAAUGGGCGAAAGCCUGAUCCAGCCAUUCCGCGUGCAGGAUGAAGGCCCUCGGGUUGUAAACUGCUUUUGUACAGAACGAAAAGGUUUCUACUAAUACUAGGAGCUCAUGACGGUACUGUAAGAAUAAGCACCGGCUAACUACGUGCCAGCCGCCGCCGUAA
RNAcentral lists this ribosomal RNA (500 nucleotides) under uncultured bacterium. RNAcentral describes it as "partial 16S ribosomal RNA". It matches the Rfam family "Bacterial small subunit ribosomal RNA", at positions 30 to 523 of the family's 1533-position model. The record is from RNAcentral.